Molecule: transfer RNA, 32 nt
Filed under: Anaecypris hispanica
Lineage: Eukaryota; Metazoa; Chordata; Actinopteri; Cypriniformes; Leuciscidae
Description: partial transfer RNA-Pro
Source: RNAcentral
AAGCCAGAAUUCUAAAUUAAACUAUCUUCUGA